GACGAACGCUGGCGGCGUGCUUAACACAUGCAAGUCGAGCGGUAAGGCCCUUUCGGGGGUACACGAGCGGCGAACGGGUGAGUAACACGNGGGUGACCUGCCCUCAGCUCUGGGAUAAGCCUGGGAAACCGGGUCUAAUACUGGAUAUGACUCCAUGACGCAUGUUGUGGGGUGGAAAGCCUUGUGCGGCUGAGGAUGGGCCCGCGGCCUAUCAGCUUGUUGGUGGGGUGAGGCCUACCAAGGCGACGACGGGUAGCCGGCCUGAGAGGGCGACCGGCCACACUGGGACUGAGACACGGCCCAGACUCCUACGGGAGGCAGCAGUGGGGAAUCUUGCGCAAUGGGCGAAAGCCUGACGCAGCGACGCCGCGUGAGGGAUGACGGCCU
RNAcentral lists this ribosomal RNA (387 nucleotides) under uncultured bacterium. RNAcentral describes it as "bacterial SSU rRNA". It matches the Rfam family "Bacterial small subunit ribosomal RNA", at positions 28 to 417 of the family's 1533-position model. The record is from RNAcentral.